GGGGCUGAUUCUGGAUUCGACGGGAUUUGCGAAACCCAAGGUGCAUGCCGAGGGGUGGUUGGCCUCGUAAAAAGCCGCAAAAAAUAGUCGCAAACGACGAAAACUACGCUUUAGCAGCUUAAUAACCUGCUUAGAGCCCUCUCUCCCUAGCCUCCGCUCUUAGGACGGGGAUCAAGAGAGGUCAAACCCAAAAGAGAUCGCGUGGAAGCCCUGCCUGGGGUUGAAGCGUUAAAACUUAAUCAGGCUAGUUUGUUAGUGGCGUGUCCGUCCGCAGCUGGCAAGCGAAUGUAAAGACUGACUAAGCAUGUAGUACCGAGGACGUAGGAAUUUCGGACGCGGGUUCAACUCCCGCCAGCUCCACCA
RNAcentral lists this transfer-messenger RNA (363 nucleotides) under Escherichia coli. It matches the Rfam family "transfer-messenger RNA". From Rfam's summary of the family: Bacterial tmRNA, also known as 10Sa RNA or SsrA, is named for its dual tRNA and mRNA-like properties. Its role is to liberate the mRNA from a stalled ribosome. Lineage: Bacteria; Pseudomonadati; Pseudomonadota; Gammaproteobacteria; Enterobacterales; Enterobacteriaceae. The record is from RNAcentral.